GACGAACGCUGGCGGCGUGCUUAACACAUGCAAGUCGAACGAAGAGCGAUGGAGGCUUGCUUCUAUCAAUCUUAGUCGCGAACGGGUGAGUAACGCGUAAUCAACCUGUCCUUCAGUGGGGGACAACAGUUGGAAACGACUGCUAAUCCCGCAUACGAUCUAAUCUCGGCAUCGAGGAUAGAUAAACGGUGGCCUCUACAUGUAUGCAAUCACUGAAGGAGGAGAAUGCGUCUGAUUAGCUAGCUGGAUAGGUAAAGGCCCAACCAAGGGAUGAACAGUAGCCGGUCUGAGGGGAUGGACGGCCACAUUGGGACUGAGACACGGCCCAGACUCCUACGGGAGGCAGCAGUGGGGAAUCUUCCGCAAUGGACGAAAGGCUGACGGAGCAACGCCGCGUGAGUGAUGACGGCCCUCGGGUUGUAAAGCUCUGUUAAUCGGGAAGAAAGGCCUUCUUGCGAAUAGUGAGAAGGAUUGACGGUACCGGAAUAGAAAGCCACGGCUAACUACGUG
Molecule: ribosomal RNA, 510 nt
Filed under: uncultured bacterium
Lineage: Bacteria
Description: partial 16S ribosomal RNA
Rfam family: Bacterial small subunit ribosomal RNA
Source: RNAcentral